This is a long non-coding RNA of Lethenteron reissneri (Far Eastern brook lamprey), 1917 nucleotides long. RefSeq lists it as uncharacterized. The record is from RefSeq and is a predicted model, not a curated record. Lineage: Eukaryota; Metazoa; Chordata; Hyperoartia; Petromyzontiformes; Petromyzontidae.
GUCACGAGGUCACAGGAAGCUGCCGCUGCUCUCCGUGCUUACUGAAAUCCGAGCCCAAGCCCGCUUGAGCUGCUGUACCGCUCUCGUUCUCAGAAGCGCCCUGCCCACAACAACAACAACAACCACAACAACAACCACAACAACAACCACAACAACCACAACAACAACAACCACCACGAGCUGUCUCUUUCUCUGCAGAAUUGGUCUGAUGGAGCAAAGGCACUCGGCGCAGCUCGGUGCAAAAAGGCAUCAAUGCGACCGUACAAGGUAAUCGCUUGGUCAGAACACAGAGUUAUGCAGAAGCCAUUGACAAGUUUACCGACGCAAUUAACUUAUGUCCGCGCGAUCAUCGCUUUUAUGGAAAUCGGUCAUUUUGUUUGGAACAUCUUGGCUUGUACACUGAUGCCUUGUUCGAUGCGGAGAUCGCUAUAUAUCUAAACCCAACAUGGCCCCGGGGAUACUUCAGACAAGCGCGGGCUUGCAUUGGACUGAAGCGUUACAGAGAGGCAGAAAGUGCGUUAUGUCAGCUGAUUUCUUUAAAUGUGUCUUCUGAAGAAGCAAAACAAGAGCUUAGGAAAGUGCGAACACUUCUCCUUGUGGAGAUGGGCUUUCCACAGCAGCAGUCGGAGGCUGCAAUCUUGGAGUACGACACGGUGUACGCCGCUUCAGAAGCACUGCUUCGAAACACAGGUUCCUUGUCAACAUCCGGUGUGGGCAACGUGGGGAUACAGAAUGAUAAACCACCAAGUCCUCAGCCUACUGUAGAUGUCGCCGCACAGAGGAGCCAAGACUCACGUGGUGCUUUGGGCAAUUCUCCAGUGCCUCCACCACCUUCGUAUAAGCAUAUGGGUGGGAAAUAUCACUUCUGCUGUUACUGAAAAAAUGCUUCAAAAGCUGUUUCGCCCAUUUGGACAGAUCCACAGCAUCCGAAUACUGGUGGACAGGAAGUGUGCGUUUGUCAACUACACGGACGAGGAGGCCGCUGAGAGAGCUCUCUGGUCCCUGCAGGGACACAGAGUAGCAGACACCAAUCUGCUCAUCGACUUCCAGAGUGUCUCCGCAAAGACCAUCGCAGCCGCCUUUCAGCAGCCUUCAGCAGUUCCGCCAGAACACGAUGAGUUUACCGGUCUGUCUCCUUGAAUGUACUUCAAACCCACCCUGAUCACAGGGCCACUGUGUUGUUCCACAAUAUAGUUUUUGCAUUUAAUAAACCGGCAUUAUGAAGCGUUCUGACUUCGUGUUUGGAGCUGUUAAUGACGUGAAGGUGGCAAACGUUUUUCAUGUCGGCACCGGCCUUUGAAAGACGUGUAGCAAUUUGACCACUUGCUGUAAAACCACCCACGUGGAUAAGACAUCCACAAUUAGUUUGAGCACGGGGCGUAUUCACUUGUUUGGACUGUCAAAUAAAUAGUCAUGAAAGUCAUUGUGGUUGUUGGGGACUUUCUAUUUGGCCUUGAUUUGGAAAUAGAAGUUUUGGUCAAUUCCUAUUUUGGAUAAUGCUUCACCUGGAUUUCAACCAAACAAUGAAUGCCUUUCGCAGCUCUGCUGAAAUAAUGUCAUCUCAGAAUCUACCGAGGAUGCUGUUGUGAUGCUUCUCCGUAUGUGACAGCAAUCAAGAUGUUCCCGUUUUUAUAAGCCAUACGCUGAACAUAUGCCUGGGACUUUCAUUAGUUUUGAUCUAUAGUUUAGUAUGCUCUUAAGGUGUUUAAUAAAGUCUACAAAUGUACAGUAAACAUCAAAGCUUAACAUACGUUGUCAUUUCAUCAGCAAUUUUCACAUCCUAAACAACAAAAGUCUUAUUUUGCACGCAUUCAGAAGCCGAGACUUUAACGUUGUCUGCAGCGACACAGCUGAAUUUGCCACCUUGCAGAUUGAGAACAUCUGCAAUUACUACUAAUGUUUAAGAUUAAUAUUUUA